This 433-nucleotide ribosomal RNA is filed under the name uncultured bacterium. RNAcentral's name for it is "partial 16S ribosomal RNA". It matches the Rfam family "Bacterial small subunit ribosomal RNA", at positions 29 to 507 of the family's 1533-position model. The record is from RNAcentral.
AACGAACGCUGGCGGCAUGCCUAACACAUGCAAGUCGAACGAGACCUUCGGGUCUAGUGGCGCACGGGUGCGUAACGCGUGGGAACCUGCCCUUAGGUUCGGAAUAACUCCCCGAAAGGGGUGCUAAUACCGGAUCAUGUCUUCGGACCAAAGAUUUAUCGCCUUUGGAUGGGCCCGCGUUGGAUUAGCUCGUUGGUAGGGUAAAAGCCUACCAAGGCGACGAUCCAUAGCUGGUCUGAGAGGAUGAUCAGCCACACUGGGACUGAGACACGGCCCAGACUCCUACGGGAGGCAGCAGUGGGGAAUAUUGGACAAUGGGCGAAAGCCUGAUCCAGCAAUGCCGCGUGAGUGAUGAAGGCCUUAGGGUUGUAAAGCUCUUUUACCCGGGAUGAUAAUGACAGUACCGGGAGAAUAAGCUCCGGCUAACUCCGUG